This is a long non-coding RNA of Chelonia mydas (Green sea turtle), 663 nucleotides long. RefSeq lists it as uncharacterized. The record is from RefSeq and is a predicted model, not a curated record. NCBI's taxonomy places the organism in Eukaryota, Metazoa, Chordata, Testudines, Cheloniidae. The transcript has 2 exons.
UCAUUUGUAUGUGGUCUCCAGCAUGUAAGUGUGACUCCUCUUUUACACUCCAAUGAUAUUUCUGUAAGUGAGUCGGCAGCCUUCGGAGUAAAGUUAGGUCAGCUGGUUAAUUUUUAUCUUAUUCACUCUGCUGUAAAGUCUUCUACCCUUUGACAGUUCCUGCAGCAUGCUCAAUCAGCAUUAGUAGCUUGCCUGCAAACUGACUGCUCCUCCUAGAUCACCGCACGUGGCCACCUGGGGGUUCCUGGGCAGUGGUGGGGGAAGCAUCAGCCCUUCCCCUUCUUCCUGUUGCUCCUGCAUGCACUGCCUCUCUGGAGACACGGGUGGGACACACAACGCUUAAGGAGCAAGGCUGGAGCCACAAGCCCCUCACCCGGAGAAGCCCCGAGUGCUCCCCCAUCAGCUGGAGGAGCCCCGGGCUGGCCGAAGCCCCGAGACAUCCUCCCCCGCCCUCAGCCAGAGGCUCUCCGGGCUGGCCAAAGCCCAGAGCCAGCAGCAGCUGUGCCUCUCCUCCCCAGACCCAAGCCACCCAGAGAUGUUUUCAAUUAUUAUUUGGACUUCUGUUAUGUCAAAGCAUUUUUAAAGUUACUUCAGAAUUGUUGUCCAGACAACCACUUUUACCAAAAAAGCAAAAGAAACAAUAAUAAAAAAGACAAGAACGUG